CAGCGGCGGACGGGUGAGUAACACGUGGGUAACCUGCCUGUAAGACUGGGAUAACUCCGGGAAACCGGGGCUAAUACCGGAUGCUUGAUUGAACCGCAUGGUUCAAUCAUAAAAGGUGGCUUUUAGCUACCACUUACAGAUGGACCCGCGGCGCAUUAGCUAGUUGGUGAGGUAACGGCUCACCAAGGCGACGAUGCGUAGCCGACCUGAGAGGGUGAUCGGCCACACUGGGACUGAGACACGGCCCAGACUCCUACGGGAGGCAGCAGUAGGGAAUCUUCCGCAAUGGACGAAAGUCUGACGGAGCAACGCCGCGUGAGUGAUGAAGGUUUUCGGAUCGUAAAACUCUGUUGUUAGGGAAGAACAAGUACCGUUCGAAUAGGGCGGCACCUUGACGGUACCUAACCAGAAAGCCACGGCUAACUACGUGCCAGCAGCCGCGGUAAUACGUAGGUGGCAAGCGUUGUCCGGAAUUAUUGGGCGUAAAGCGCGCGCAGGCGGUUUCUUAAGUCUGAUGUGAAAGCCCCCGGCUCAACCGGGGAGGGUCAUUGGAAACUGGGGAACUUGAGUGCAGAAGAGGAGAGUGGAUUCCACGUGUAGCGGUGAAAUGCGUAGAGAUGUGGAGGAACACCAGUGGCGAAGGCGACUCUC
Molecule: ribosomal RNA, 651 nt
Filed under: uncultured Bacilli bacterium
Lineage: Bacteria; Bacillati; Bacillota; Bacilli
Description: bacterial SSU rRNA
Rfam family: Bacterial small subunit ribosomal RNA
Source: RNAcentral